RNAcentral lists this ribosomal RNA (687 nucleotides) under uncultured soil bacterium. RNAcentral describes it as "bacterial SSU rRNA". It matches the Rfam family "Bacterial small subunit ribosomal RNA", at positions 30 to 750 of the family's 1533-position model. The record is from RNAcentral.
CGAACGUUGGCGGCGUGGAUUAGGCAUGCAAGUCGGGGGAAUCCCGCAAGGGGGAACCGGCGUAAGGGGCAGUAAGGCAUGGGUACCUACCCUGGGGUUCGGGAUAGCCGUCUGAGAAGGCGGGUAAUACCGGAUGAUCUCGGGAGAGCAAAGAUUAAUCGCCCUGGGAGGGGCCCAUGUGAUAUUAGCUAGUUGGUGAGGUAACGGCUCACCAAGGCGGAGAUGUCUAGCGGGUGUGAGAGCACGACCCGCGCCACUGGCACUGAGACACUGGCCAGACACCUACGGGUGGCUGCAGUCGAGGAUCUUCGGCAAUGGGCGCAAGCCUGACCGAGCGACGCCGCGUGUGCGACGAAGGCCUUCGGGUUGUAAAGCACUGUCGAGGGGGAGAAAAGCCCGCAAGGGUGUGAUCUAUCCCUGGAGGAAGCACGGGCUAAGUUCGUGCCAGCAGCCGCGGUAAGACGAACCGUGCGAACGUUGUUCGGAAUCACUGGGCUUAAAGGGCGCGUAGGCGGGCUGCCGCGUCCGGGGUGAAAUCCUCCCGCUCAACGGGAGAACGGCCUCGGAUACGGGCGGCCUCGAGGGGGGUAGGGGCAUCUGGAACUGUGAGUGGAGCGGUGAAAUGCGUUGAUAUUCACAGGAACUCCGGUGGCGAAGGCGAGGUGCUGGACCCCAACUGACGCUCAG